GAUGAACGCUAGCGGGAGGCUUAACACAUGCAAGUCGAGGGGCAUCACGAGGUAGCAAUACUUUGGUGGCGACCGGCGCACGGGUGAGUAACGCGUAUGCAACCUACCCUGUACAGGGGGAUAGCCCGGAGAAAUUCGGAUUAAUACCCCAUAAUGCUAUUUUAUGCCGUCAUAAAAUAUUUAAAGCUCAGACGGUACGGGAUGGGCAUGCGUAACAUUAGCUAGUUGGUAGGGUAAUGGCCUACCAAGGCGACGAUGUUUAGGGGUCCUGAGAGGGUGAUCCCCCACACUGGUACUGAGACACGGACCAGACUCCUACGGGAGGCAGCAGUGAGGAAUAUUGGUCAAUGGGCGCGAGCCUGAACCAGCCAUCCCGCGUGGAGGAAGACUGCCCUAUGGGUUGUAAACUUCUUUUCCAGGGGAAUAAAAUCUCGAACGAGUUCGGGACUGAAGGUACCCUGGGAAUAAGCAUCGGCUAACUCCGUGCCAGCCGCCGCAGUAA
This 502-nucleotide ribosomal RNA is filed under the name uncultured bacterium. RNAcentral's name for it is "partial 16S ribosomal RNA". It matches the Rfam family "Bacterial small subunit ribosomal RNA", at positions 28 to 523 of the family's 1533-position model. The record is from RNAcentral.